Molecule: ribosomal RNA, 372 nt
Filed under: uncultured organism
Description: bacterial SSU rRNA
Rfam family: Bacterial small subunit ribosomal RNA
Source: RNAcentral
CGUAGGGGGCAAGCGUUGUCCGGAUUUAUUGGGCGUAAAGCGCUCGCAGGUGGUUCGUUGCGUCGUGCGUGAAAGACCCCGGCUCAACUGGGGAGGGUCGUGCGAUACGGGCGAACUGGAGGCCAGUAGGGGGAUGCGGAAUUCCGGGUGUAGUGGUGGAAUGCGUAGAGAUCCGGAGGAACACCAGCGGCGAAGGCGGCAUCCUGGACUGGUCCUGACACUCAUGAGCGAAAGCGUGGGGAGCGAUCCGGAUUAGAUACCCGGGUAGUCCACGCUGUAAACGAUGCGCACUAGGUGUCGGGGGUAUCGACCCCCUCGGUGCCGCAGCUAACGCGAUAAGUGCGCCGCCUGGGGACUACGGCCGCAAGGCUA